CGUACGCACUGGCCCAACUAAUUGAUGGUGCUUGCACCUGAUUGACGUUGGAUCACCAGUGAGUGGCGGACGGGUGAGUAACACGUAGGUAACCUGCCCUGGAGCGGGGGAUAACAUUUGGAAACAGAUGCUAAUACCGCAUAACAACAAAAGCCACAUGGCUUUUGUUUGAAAGAUGGCUUUGGCUAUCACUCUGGGAUGGACCUGCGGUGCAUUAGCUAGUUGGUAAGGUAACGGCUUACCAAGGCGAUGAUGCAUAGCCGAGUUGAGAGACUGAUCGGCCACAAUGGAACUGAGACACGGUCCAUACUCCUACGGGAGGCAGCAGUAGGGAAUCUUCCACAAUGGGCGCAAGCCUGAUGGAGCAACACCGCGUGAGUGAAGAAGGGUUUCGGCUCGUAAAGCUCUGUUGUUGGAGAAGAACGUGCGUGAGAGUAACUGUUCACGCAGUGACGGUAUCCAACCAGAAAGUCACGGCUAACUACGUG
This 488-nucleotide ribosomal RNA is filed under the name uncultured Lactobacillus sp. Its description in RNAcentral is "bacterial SSU rRNA". It matches the Rfam family "Bacterial small subunit ribosomal RNA", at positions 37 to 507 of the family's 1533-position model. Lineage: Bacteria; Bacillati; Bacillota; Bacilli; Lactobacillales; Lactobacillaceae. The record is from RNAcentral.